RNAcentral lists this ribosomal RNA (253 nucleotides) under uncultured bacterium. RNAcentral's name for it is "partial 16S ribosomal RNA". It matches the Rfam family "Bacterial small subunit ribosomal RNA", at positions 524 to 776 of the family's 1533-position model. The record is from RNAcentral.
UACGAAGGGUGCAAGCGUUACUCGGAAUUACUGGGCGUAAAGCGUGCGUAGGUGGUUUGUUUAGUCUGCUGUGAAAGCCUCGGGCUCAACCUGGGAAUGGCAGUGGAUACUGGCAAGCUAGAGUGCGGUAGAGGGGUGUGGAAUUCCCGGUGUAGCGGUGAAAUGCGUAGAGAUCGGGAGGAACACCAGUGGCGAAGGCGGCACCCUGGACCAGCACUGACACUGAGGCACGAAAGCGUGGGGAGCAAACAGG